UGGGGAAUAUUCCGCAAUGGACGAAAGUCUGACGGAGCGACGCCGCGUGGAUGAAGAAGGCCGAAAGGUUGUAAAGUCCUUUUGCUGAGGAAGAAUAAGUGUGGGAGGGAAUGCCCGCAUGAUGACAUGAAUCGGCGAAUAAGCCCCGGCCAACUGCGUGCCAGCAGCCGCGGUAACACGUAGGGGGCGAGCGUUGUUCGGAAUUACUGGGCGUAAAGGGCAUGUAGGCGGUUAUGUAAGCCUGGCGUGAAAGUCCACAGCUUAACUGUGGGAUUGCGUUGGGAACUAGAUGACUAGAGUUACGGAGAGGGAGCUAGAAUUCCUGGUGUAGGGGUGGAAUCUGUAGAGAUCAGGAAGAAUACCGAUGGCGAAGGCAAGCUCCUGGCCGAUGACUGACGCUGAGGUGCGAAAGUGUGGGGAUCAAACA
RNAcentral lists this ribosomal RNA (427 nucleotides) under uncultured prokaryote. RNAcentral's name for it is "bacterial SSU rRNA". It matches the Rfam family "Bacterial small subunit ribosomal RNA", at positions 355 to 774 of the family's 1533-position model. The record is from RNAcentral.